Molecule: ribosomal RNA, 449 nt
Filed under: uncultured Gammaproteobacteria bacterium
Lineage: Bacteria; Pseudomonadati; Pseudomonadota; Gammaproteobacteria
Description: bacterial SSU rRNA
Rfam family: Bacterial small subunit ribosomal RNA
Source: RNAcentral
UGGGUAGUCCGCACGAGCGCACCUUACUGUCAGUUGCUAACAUUUAGUUGAGGACUCUGAUGGGACUGCCGCUGAUAAGGCGGAGGAAGGUGGGGGCGACGUCAAGUCAUCAUGGCCCUUACGGGUAGGGCUACACACGUGCUACAAUGGUUGUUACAGAGGGAUGCUAAGCCGCGAGGUGGAGCGAAACCCAGAAAGGCAAUCGUAGUCCGGAUUGGAGUCUGCAACUCGACUCCAUGAAGUUGGAAUCGCUAGUAAUCGCGAAUCAGAAUGUCGCGGUGAAUACGUUCCCGGGUCUUGUACACACCGCCCGUCACACCACGGGAGUAGGUUGCACCAGAAGUAGCUAGACUAACCUUCGGGAGGUCGGUUACCACGGUGUGAUUUAUGACUGGGGUGAAGUCGUAACAAGGUAGCCGUAGGGGAACCUGCGGCUGGAUCACCUCCUU